Lutra lutra (Eurasian river otter) is the source of this 519-nucleotide long non-coding RNA. RefSeq lists it as uncharacterized. The record is from RefSeq and is a predicted model, not a curated record. NCBI's taxonomy places the organism in Eukaryota, Metazoa, Chordata, Mammalia, Carnivora, Mustelidae. The transcript is spliced from 3 exons.
CUCAUGGCCUGUAUUACAGAUAAAGGUGAAAAGGUCAAGAAGCUGAGCUGAGUUUCAGGCCCACACACUGGCUGUGGUUUUGUAUGCCCCAGUGUAUAAAUCAGCAGAGCGAUUAGUCAUUAUCAUAAUAUGCUGGCUGAGAGAAUGACAUCUAAGGGUCAGGGAUGCAGGAGACAUGUCUGGUGGUCAUACCUGGGGACAGCAGAGGGGACGUGCCUUCCUUGUGUUCCAGCUGUGCAGCCUUCAGAGGGAAAGCAAGCUGACCAGCCCUUCAAUGUGGCAAGUUCUUUACCUCACCAUGACUUGACAGACGAGCUGAGUGUCUGCAGAAGGCACACCUAGUGACGCAGUUUCUGGUGAUGGGGAUUGGAUAGUAAAAGGCUGGAAUACUGCCCUCACCUUGGACACUGCAACUGAGGUCUGGGACAACUGACAGAAAGCCAGUAGAAGGUAAGAAUUCUUUUUCUUUCUUUCUUUUUUUUUUUAGAUUUUAUUUAUUUGACAGAAAGAGAUCACAAG